RNAcentral lists this ribosomal RNA (728 nucleotides) under uncultured bacterium. RNAcentral's name for it is "bacterial SSU rRNA". It matches the Rfam family "Bacterial small subunit ribosomal RNA", at positions 93 to 855 of the family's 1533-position model. The record is from RNAcentral.
GAGUGGCAGACGGGUGAGUAACGCGUGGGAAUCUACCUAGUGGUGGAGGAUAACUUCGGGAAACCGGAGCUAAUACUCCAUAAGCCCUUCGGGGGAAAGUUUUUUCGCCAUUAGAUGAGCCCGCGUUAGAUUAGCUUGUUGGUAGGGUAAUGGCCUACCAAGGCGACGAUCUAUAGCUGGUCUGAGAGGAUGAUCAGCCACACUGGAACUGAGACACGGUCCAGACUCCUACGGGAGGCAGCAGUGGGGAAUAUUGCACAAUGGGCGCAAGCCUGAUGCAGCCAUGCCGCGUGUGUGAUGAAGGCCUUAGGGUUGUAAAACACUUUCAUCGGUGAAGAUAAUGACGGUAGCCGAAGAAGAAGCCCCGGCUAACUCCGUGCCAGCAGCCGCGGUAAUACGGAGGGGGCAAGCGUUGUUCGGAAUUACUGGGCGUAAAGCGCACGUAGGCGGACUGAUCAGUUGGGGGUGAAAUCCCGAGGCUUAACCUCGGAACUGCCUUCAAUACUGUCAGUCUUGAGAUCGGAAGAGGUGAGUGGAAUUCCUAGUGUAGAGGUGAAAUUCGUAGAUAUUAGGAAGAACACCAGUGGCGAAGGCGGCUCACUGGUCCGAUACUGACGCUGAGGUGCGAAAGCGUGGGGAGCGAACAGGAUUAGAUACCCCAGUAGUCCUAGCCGUAAACGAUGGAUACUAGGUGUUGCCUGUAUCGACCCAGGCAGUGCCGUACCUAA